UACUUCAAAGUUUGUAUUACUAAUAAGAGGGUCAUGGGUAAUUUUUAAUGAAAGAUGGCACGCCUCCAACCAUUUUAAAAGGAUUACACUUAAUUAAACCUAAAGAUAUUUACAUCCAAAAAUGGGCUCAAGCCAUUGAUUAAUGUGUAAAGCAAUGCAACAAGCCUAAGCUAAUCGAGGCAGGAACUGGGCCAACGCCAGGCCCAGUGUAUUAUUGCACGCUUCUCCUCUUCUUUGAUAAAAGAGAUGGGCAUCAUCACUCAUUUGGCUCAGAAUUGAGCCUAGGUGCAAGUUACGCAAUUAAACCCAAACGCAAGCCAAAAAGAGAUUCCCUGCUACAGGCAUAAUGAGUUGGCUACUGCAUAAUUGACAAAGUAAGAGGAAAUUCAAAAGUCCUCACUACAUUGGAACCUCUGACAUGCUGACAAACAUAUACACAUAGUGACAAAAAUAGUAAAUAAAAGAAAUCAGUCUUUACAAACACAUGUUACUGGCAUGCACCCAUUCAUUCUUCUAAUUAAGGAUUAAACAUUAGUCUUUCAAUUUUACUUGACUAACAGUGAAUGAAUAAACAUCAGAAAUACACAUAAAACAUUACUCGCACACACACAUCAUACAAGAAAUAGACAUGAAUCUCGAUCAGUUGCACCGAAAUUUUACGAGACACUACAGAUAAAGCCUUAUCUCUCUAUGUAAAAAUCUUUGCAUUUUUUUCAAAUAAUCACAGAGUAAGCAAAUAAGCAGCUGGCUUUUCUCACAAGCAUAUAUAUCUUCUCAUAGAAUGACAUCUAGAGGAAAUGGCUUUUGGGCAAAAAUGUGUAUUGUUCCAUAACUACUCCCCCCCCCCCCCCGUAUCACCUUACAUCCUAAAGGCUCCAAAUCCUCUCACUAUUCCAGAUUCCAUUUAUGACACAGGAAGAUUUUGGGCAAUGAAUACCAAGGAAGAGAAAAGUCCCCUUUACUAGUGUAAUAGACAAUUGUACAAUCAAAAUUCUAACUUUACUAGUAAACACAUAAGGAAAGGAACUUCCAUAAAUGAAGACUAAUCAUAUAAGACCAAAUUAAAACUGCAUUACGAGCUGAGACAGAAAUAAAGAGAUGCAGCAGAACCAUUACACGAGAGCUUUUGACGAUGUUAUAUAUGAAGGGGUUCUAAUGGGAGAGGUAACUGAUAAGGGAACUAAAAGGAAAAGAGAAGAAGUGAUUAACCAACCUAAAACCAAUGCACAUCAAUAAACACACACAUACAAACAUAUAUUCUGCUGUAUCUCAGUGUCGUUUUAAGCCUGAAUCUUUAGUUUAAACGAGAAGAGGCUACAAAAAGUAAUGCACGACUCAAUGAGCACUUUAAACGACUUAAAAUUUUGAUCUUUAUAUACAACAACAUCAUGCUCAAAUAUAUUUGACUUAUGCUAUUGAAACCAAAGACAAACAAUGAGAGGGAUUCAAAGCUAGCAUCAACGAUUGAGCCAACUGGUCUUACAAAACUGGGUAGAAACUAACGAAAGCAAUUUUUCAUUUCAUGAUCCGAUGUAGAGCAACAAAGAAGAUGAACAUACCUAUUAGCAAAACAACUGAAAAUAUCAACUGAAACUCUGAAAUAGGAGAAGAAAUUCAGCAAGAGUAACAAUAGCUCAAUAGAUCAGCCAACCAAAUCCAAAUUGCAACAAAAAAUCGGACAGAAAAACCACAGCGCCAAAGCUCCAAAUCCCAGCGACAAAACCCCAACUUAAACUUCAAUCCAAAACCAUACUUGAAGAACAGAGAUCGAAGAGAAAAUGCGGAGAUUUGUAAUUUUAAAUUCUUUUGAAAUGAAGUGAAACUUGAAUCAACAAUCAAACUCAAACCAUACUUUAUAUAUAUAUAUAUAUAU
RNAcentral lists this long non-coding RNA (1873 nucleotides) under Nicotiana tabacum (common tobacco). RNAcentral describes it as "long non-coding RNA (NTAB_LNC004140)". Lineage: Eukaryota; Viridiplantae; Streptophyta; Magnoliopsida; Solanales; Solanaceae. The record is from RNAcentral.